RNAcentral lists this ribosomal RNA (517 nucleotides) under uncultured delta proteobacterium. Its description in RNAcentral is "bacterial SSU rRNA". It matches the Rfam family "Bacterial small subunit ribosomal RNA", at positions 24 to 523 of the family's 1533-position model. The record is from RNAcentral. Lineage: Bacteria; Deltaproteobacteria.
UCAGAACGAACGCUGGCGGCGUGCCUAACACAUGCAAGUCGAGCGCGAAUGGAGCAAUCCUAGUAGAGCGGCGCACGGGUGCGUAACACGUGGGUAAUCUGCCUGGAAGAUGGGGAUAACCAGUCGAAAGAUUGGCUAAUACCCAAUAAGCCCACGGGGACUUCGGUCCCUGAGGGAAAAGGUGGCCUCUGUAUACAAGCUAUCACUUCCAGAUGAGCCCGCGGCCCAUCAGCUAGUUGGCGGGGUAACGGCCCACCAAGGCGACGACGGGUAGCUGGUCUGAGAGGACGAUCAGCCACACUGGAACUGAGACACGGUCCAGACUCCUACGGGAGGCAGCAGUGGGGAAUUUUGCGCAAUGGGCGAAAGCCUGACGCAGCAACGCCGCGUGUGUGAUGAAGGUCUUCGGAUUGUAAAGCACUUUCGACCGGGACGAAAACCCUGAAGCUAACAUCUUCAGGUUUGACGGUACCGGGAGAAGAAGCACCGGCUAACUCUGUGCCAGCAGCCGCGGUAA